RNAcentral lists this ribosomal RNA (482 nucleotides) under uncultured bacterium. Its description in RNAcentral is "partial 16S ribosomal RNA". It matches the Rfam family "Bacterial small subunit ribosomal RNA", at positions 28 to 507 of the family's 1533-position model. The record is from RNAcentral.
GUUGAACGCUGGCGGCAUGCCUAACACAUGCAAGUCGAACGGUAACGGGCCUUCGGGUUCCUACGAGUGGCGAACAGGGGAGCAAUACAUCGGAACGCGCCCGAUCGUGGCGGAUAACGAGGCGAAAGCUCUGCUAAUGACGCACUAGAACUACGGAUACAACCCGGGGAGCGCAAGGGCUUGCGCAGACGGAACUGGCGAUGGGAGAUUCGAUAGUGGGAGGGGUUAAAGAUUACCAAGCCGACGAUCUGUAGCUGAUCUGAGCGGAUGGUCAGCCACACUGCGCCGGAAACACGGCCCGGACUCCUCCGGGAGGCGGCGGUGGGGAAUUUAGGACAAUGGGCGCAAGGCUGAUCCAGCCCUGCCGCGUGGAGGAUAGGGGCCUUCGGGUUUUGAACUGCUUUUGUUCGGAACGAAGAGCAUUCUGUUAAUACAGUGGGGUCAUGACGGUACCGUAAGAAUAAGCACCGGCUAACUACGUG